UUUGCUUCCGCCUUUGACAGAACUCGAUUAUCCCACCUUUUCUGGCUGUUCAAAUCUAUCUGCAUAUUGAUGAAACCGCCAUUAAAAAGUGCGCUUAAGCGUGGCAAUAGUUUGGCGACGAACAGCAUGGCCCCGAAUGAUUGCUUGAAGCCUCACUAGUCCUUUCAAUGCUCGCAACGCUUUUCUUGCCUGCAAAAAUGGCACAUUAAUCUGAGUGGAAAUUAAGCCUAGGAAGCUAUGGUUUCUGUAUAAACUUGUUAGUCAUCUGAAUUGUCCUUUCUUGAGCUUUUUCUUUGCCAUUCUUGCAGAAUUCUGGCUAGCUGGUAAUAGUUUGAACUUGGAUUCUAAAUUCCCUUCAAGUUUUUGUGCUUUUUCCCUUGUUUCUAUGCCAUUUAAGGCAACUUAAAGUGACUCUUUGUGCUUCAGUAGGUUGAGAAAGUAGCUAUGAACAGAUACUACAUUGUAACAGAGUCAGUUGUACUCAAGAAAAGUGACAAGAAGUGGAUGAAAAUAUGAAAUGUGUUCUGAAACAAGAAGAGCAAAUGAACAACUUACAAGAUAACCGCGAAAAGCUGUCUGAAUUUUGAUGGAAGCAAGGGCUGAGAAACAUAGCAAGGCUCCCCCCCGGGCACGAAAGGCACAGAAUCUGCAGCAUUUGUUGCAGCAGAAGCUAUAACCAUGGUGGCAUGGUUUCCCAGUUCUUCCUCUCUGCAGGCUUCAUGUUCAUCUUUUGGGUGUGGUGGAGCUGAGAACAAGGCCAACCAUUUGAUUCUCAGCCUCCCAAUUGGCCUCUUUCGCUUCGCCUGCCGACAAAACAAGGUACAAUAACAAUAAGCCUUUUCAGAACACUGCACCAGCUCUUCUUCUUUGCCAUGGCUUUCACUACUACUUAGAAAAACACUGA
Ipomoea nil (Japanese morning glory) is the source of this 904-nucleotide long non-coding RNA. RefSeq lists it as uncharacterized. The record is from RefSeq and is a predicted model, not a curated record. The transcript has 4 exons. NCBI's taxonomy places the organism in Eukaryota, Viridiplantae, Streptophyta, Magnoliopsida, Solanales, Convolvulaceae.